AGCGCCGAAUCGAUCGGCCUAUGGUUGCUUCGAAAUGUGGCGUAUAGGUGUAGUCUUCCAGCAGUGUCGUGAGUCCGAAGUCCUUACGAUUGAGGCCAUAGACCAGAGAGGGUGCGAGUCCCGUCCUGGAUUGCGAUGCUGUUGGUUCGAUUGCUCCUUGGAGUCGGGUUGCUUGAAAGUGCAGCCUAAAGUGGGUGAUAAACUUCAUCUAAGGCUAAAUAUUGACUCGAUUGCGAUAGCGAACAAGUACCGUGAGGGAAAGUUGCAAAGGACUUUGAAGAGAGAGUUCAAGAGAACGUGAAAUCGCUGGAGUGGAACCGGAGACAGUUGAUGUUGCUUGGAGACAAGUUUGGUGGCUGGUCGCUUAGUUGUGAUCGUCGCCGGAUGUCGUUUCCUAUGCUACGCCGACGGCGUUGGUCGCUCGUUCUGGCCCGACAGUGUUGCCCAGCUCGCAAGAGUCGGUGUCUUGUUGUCGGUCGUUGGUUCGUGGUGGCUAGCGUUUAGUUACGCUAGUGUGUGUGACGUCGGUGUGAAAGUCGACGACGUUUCCGACCCGUCUUGAAACACGGAUUGCGGAGUGCUUGUCUACUGCGAGUCAAAGGGUGUUAAAACCUUGCGGCGAAAUGAAAGUGAAGGUCAGUCUUGAAUUGGCCGACGUGGGAUCGGUGCUCCUCGGAGUGCUGCGCACCACGGCCCUGUGCGUGUCACUUGUGACUGUGCAGAGGUUGAGCAGUUGGCAAACGACCCGAAAGAUGGUGAACUAUGCCUGAGCAGGAUGAAGCCAGAGGAAACUCUGGUGGAAGUCCGUAUCGGUUCUGACGUGCAAAUCGAUCGAUAGACUUGGGUAUAGGGGCGAAAGACUAAUCGAACCAUCUAGUAGCUGGUUCCUUCCGAAGUUUCCCUCAGGAUAGCUGGAUCUCCGGCAGUUAUAUUCGGUAAAGCUAAUGAUUAGAGGCCUUGGGGACGUAAUGUCCUCAACCUAUUCUCAAACUUUCAAUGGAUAUGAAGUUGCAGUUUCUUUAGUGAACUGUCAACGUGAAUGCGAGGUCCAAGUGGGCCAUUUUUGGUAAGCAGAACUGGCGCUGUGGGAUGAACCAAACGUGGAGUUAAGGUGCCUAACUUCUCGCUCAUGAGACCCCAUAAAAGGUGUUGGUUGAUAUUGACAGCAGGACGGUGGCCAUGGAAGUCGGUAUCCGCUAAGGAGUGUGUAACAACUCACCUGCCGAAUCAACUAGCCCUGAAAAUGGAUGGCGCUUAAGCGAGAGACCUAUACUCCGCCGUUGCGGCAUGUGCGUUGUCUAGCGCCAGGCCGUAACGAGUAGGAAGGUCGUGGCGGUUGCUUUGAAGGCUAUGAGCGUGGGCUCGGCUGGAGCUUCCGUCAGUGCAGAUCGUAAUGGUAGUAGCAAAUAUUCAAGUUCGAUCCUUGAAGACUGAAGUGGAGAAGGGUUCCACGUGAACAGUAGUUGGAUGUGGGUCAGUCGAUCCUAAGGUACUGGCGAACGCCUUGUAUCAUCGGUGGCGAAAAGCUUGCUUUUGGUCCCCGUUUGUCGAAAGGGAAUAGGGUUAAUAUUCCCUAACUGAGAUGCAAAGAUUGUGUUCUUCGGAGCACAAGCGCGGUAACGCAUUCGAACUUGGUUAGUCGCUCAAAGACCGAGCUAGAGUUUUCUUCUCUAGUUAAGGAACGGACUCCCUGGAAUUGGUUCAGCCAGAGAUGGGGACGUUGUUUCCGAAAAGCACCGCGGUUUCUGUGGUGUCUCGUGCUCUUUGAACGGCCCUUAAAACACCAAGGGAGGCUAUUAAUUUGCACUCAAUCGUACCGAUAUCCGCAUUAGGUCUCCAAGGUGAACAGCCUCUAGUCGAUAGAAUAAUGUAGGUAAGGGAAGUCGGCAAACUAGAUCCGUAACUUCGGGAAAAGGAUUGGCUCCAGUGGUUGGAACGAUUGGCCAGUUGGUUGAUGCUUGUCCGGCGCUAUUCUGUCUGCUUGAUGCUUUCGGGCUGAUGGCGGACUAGUGAUAGUGCUUGCUUGUGGACGCUUUCUGGUGUGUGCUAGGACCUCGGUUCUAGUAUCCUGAUCGCUCAUCUAAACAACCGUACUGGAACCGGUACGGACUCAGGGAAUCCGACUGUCUAAUUAAAACAGAGGUGACAGAUGGUCCUUGCGGACGCUGACUGUCACUGAUUUCUGCCCAGUGCUCUGAAUGUUAAAUCGUAGUAAUUCGAGUAAGCGCGGGUAAACGGCGGGAGUAACUAUGACUCUCUUAAGGUAGCCAAAUGCCUCGUCAUUUAAUUGUUGACGCGCAUGAAUGGAUUAACGAGAUUCCUACUGUCCCUAACUACUAUCUAGCGAAACCACAGCCAAGGGAACGGGCUUGGCAAAAAUAGCGGGGAAAGAAGACCCUGUUGAGCUUGACUCUAGUUUGACAUUGUGAAGAGUCAUGAGAGGUGUAGCAUAGGUGGGAGACUUCGGUCGCCGGUGAAAUACCACCACUUUCAUCGACUCUUUACUUAUUCGGUUAAAAGAGAAUUGGCUUCACGGCCUUUUUUCGAAGCAUUAAGCGGAGCCAUUUUAUGGCACCGUGACUCUCCUCGAAGACAGUGUCAAGCGGGGAGUUUGACUGGGGCGGUACAUCUAUCAAAUCGUAACGUAGGUGUCCUAAGGCGAGCUCAGAG
Molecule: ribosomal RNA, 2670 nt
Filed under: Caenorhabditis nigoni
Lineage: Eukaryota; Metazoa; Nematoda; Chromadorea; Rhabditida; Rhabditidae
Description: eukaryotic LSU rRNA
Rfam family: Eukaryotic large subunit ribosomal RNA
Source: RNAcentral